RNAcentral lists this ribosomal RNA (495 nucleotides) under uncultured bacterium. RNAcentral describes it as "partial 16S ribosomal RNA". It matches the Rfam family "Bacterial small subunit ribosomal RNA", at positions 28 to 523 of the family's 1533-position model. The record is from RNAcentral.
GACGAACGCUGGCGGCGUGCCUAACACAUGCAAGUCGAGCGAAGCACUUGGAACCGAUCCUUCGGGUGAAGUUCCAUUUGACUGAGCGGCGGACGGGUGAGUAACGCGUGGGUAACCUGCCUCAUACAGGGGAAUAACAGUUUGAAAAGACUGCUAAUGCCGCAUAAGCGCACAGGGCCGCAUGGCCCGGUGUGAAAAACUCCGGUGGUAUGAGAUGGACCCGCGUCUGAUUAGCUAGUUGGUGAGGUAACGGCCCACCAAGGCGACGAUCAGUAGCCGACCUGAGAGGGUGACCGGCCACAUCGGGACUGAGACACGGCCCAAACUCCUACGGGAGGCAGCAGUGGGGAAUAUUGCACAAUGGGGGAAACCCUGAUGCAGCGACGCCGCGUGGAUGAAGAAGUAUUUCGGUAUGUAAAGUCCUAUCAGCAGGGAAGAAAAUGACAGUACCUGACUAAGAAGCCCCGGCUAACUACGUGCCAGCCGCCGCGGUAA